AUUGAACGCUGGCGGCAGGCCUAACACAUGCAAGUCGGACGGUAGCACAGAGAGCUUGCUCUCGGGUGACGAGUGGCGGACGGGUGAGUAAUGUCUGGGGAUCUGCCCGAUAGAGGGGGAUAACCACUGGAAACGGUGGCUAAUACCGCAUAACGUCGCAAGACCAAAGAGGGGGACCUUCGGGCCUCUCACUAUCGGAUGAACGCAGAUGGGAUUAGCUAUGAGGCGGGGUAACGGCCCACCUAGGCGACGAUCCCUAGCUGGUCUGAGAGGAUGACCAGCCACGCUGGAACUGAGACACGGUCCAGACUCCUACGGGAGGCAGCAGUGGGGAAUAUUGCACAAUGGGCGCAAGCCUGAUGCAGCCAUGCCGCGUGUAUGAAGAAGGCCUUCGGGUUGUAAAGUACUUUCAGCGGGGAGGAAGGCGAUGUGGUUAAUAACCGCGUCGAUUGACGUUACCCGCAGAAGAAGCACCGGCUAACUCCGUGCCAGCCGCCGCCGUAA
This 504-nucleotide ribosomal RNA is filed under the name uncultured bacterium. RNAcentral describes it as "partial 16S ribosomal RNA". It matches the Rfam family "Bacterial small subunit ribosomal RNA", at positions 29 to 523 of the family's 1533-position model. The record is from RNAcentral.